Molecule: long non-coding RNA, 3590 nt
Organism: Lytechinus variegatus (green sea urchin)
Lineage: Eukaryota; Metazoa; Echinodermata; Echinoidea; Temnopleuroida; Toxopneustidae
Exons: 2
Source: RefSeq, a predicted model, not a curated record
UGGUCAAAAUACUGAUUUUGGGGGAUAAGAAUACUGAAAAUGCAAAAUACAACUUGGCAGCUCUGCCUUAAGUAGAGUCAUUCUUUCCUCAGAAUUCUUCAGAGCCUAUCAGUAGGGGAGUUGAGAAGUUUUGAAAAGCGUGAAAAUAAGCAUGCACGUGCUUAUAUGCACGUUUUCUUUCCUGCCAGUCCUUCCAAAAACGUUAUUAUAAGCACGUUUGGGCCAGUUUUUAGGCUUUAGCAGCCAGGCUUUUCGAAAGCCAAAAAUUUGAUUGACACCAUCAGAAGGAGCAGGAAAAAUUACAUCGUAUACCACUUUAUAAAAAAAUUCACCGUCUAAUUUUCCUACAACAGCUGAUUGAAGCAACUACAACGAUCGAUUCCAAAUUUUACCGUCGCUACGUCACUUGUCCCUUGGGCUUCCAGCAAACGUUCUUAUAUGCAGGUUUCCACAUCCAGGGAAGUUCUGCCUCGAGUGUCUGAUUUGUUUUAUUAGGAUAAGGUUAGAGAGGGUGUCUAUAAAAUUCCCAAAGGAGACUUGCGCUUGCUCUUGGCAUGCCCCUAAAUCAAUAUGUCACUUGAAUAUUUUCUACUUUUGGUUUGGUCGAGGUGGCAUGUGUGGAAAUAAAAUGUUCAUUAUUCUGUUUAGUAUGUCUAGGCUGUUCGGCAUAAUGUUUUUUUUGUGUGUGUGGGAUCUUAAAGUUCUUUCACCUUUCACUGUUUUAUGAGAAAAUCUCUAUUCAGAUUGUUUAAAUUUUGUUCUAAGAAAAUUAUCAGACUGUUUAAAAUUAUACAUUCUGUAGAAUUUAUUUGCAUGUAUUUGAUGUGAACAAUAUUAUGUAUACAGUUGUUUUCUUAUCCUUAAUUGUUGAAUUUCGUAUACUGUGGAUAAUAUACAUGUAUGCUUGAAAGCAAUGUCAAAAUGUAUAUUUUCUUUAUCUCCUAUUAAAGGUAAAAAGCAUAUAUACAUUUGUAUACAUAUAUAUAUACAUGCCUAUGAAUCUAAGUCUGUCACUGUCACACUGUUUUGGACUCCUUGCCUUGCUAGACACAGAUUUUCAUAUUUGCCCCGAUAAGAAAUCUCUUUGAUGAUUAUUAUCACUCAGUUGCCAGUAUUCCUUACGUAGAGUCAAUCUUUCCUCAGAAUUCUUCGGAGCUGAUGAAUCUAACUCUGUCACUGUCACAGUGUUUUGGACUCCUUGCCUUGCUAGACACAGAUUUUCAUAUUUGCCCCGAUAAGAAAUCUCUUUGAUGAUUGUAAUCACUCAGUUGCCAGUAUUCCUUACGUAGAGUCAUUCUUUCCUCAGAAUUCUUCAGAGCCUAUGAAUCUAAAUCUGUCACUGUCACAGUGUUAUGGACUCCUUGCUGUCCUGCCCUCUCUAUUUGUGUCAAUUCUUAUUGUCCAGAAAUAUGAAUAUUUUCCACUUGUUUAAAUACUACAGGUACUAUACCUGUUUGUGUUCUUUGCAAGAUACAGUGGCGGACCGUGACCCCGAGGAGACAAAGCAUUGGGGGGGCACGGCAUUGUUCACAAACAAUGCAGUGCCCCCCCCCCCCCAAUGCUCUGUCUCCUCCGGGUCACGGUCCGCUACUGGCAAGAUAUGUCAAUGUCUGUUUUUAAUGAAAUAACCGCAACCCAUAGAUAAACAUAUGCAAUCGUGGGGACGCACGCAUCUCUUGCGGGUGCAAGUUAUGGCAAGCUAUCUAUGUCUACCUUGUAUUUCUGUAGUUCACCACAUAUUUUUCUGUUUAAAAUGAAAUGCACUCUUCUUGGCCAUUCCGUACUUUUAUACCGUGGUGUGGGCAGUAAGUAGAGUCUGAUGUACCUUUAAAGGUUGAUGCCAUGGCAUUCAGAGUAGAGUAGAACUUCUUGUGACCAUAUCCAAGGCCAUUUAGUCUCUGUUCGGUCUGGUUUGGUAGGGAACGUAAAGCUUCUAUUGCAUGAUGUGAAGAGGUCAAUGAUCUAAUUCAUUUGUUUUCUUCUGAUUGACAUUCUUUUUUAUAUAAAGUCAUGAAAAGCAACCAUUGUACAAACAUUAACAAUAUGAAUUUACACAUUAUUCAACUCAUUUUAUUCACAUCUACAGUGUUUAAACCACACCAAAAAUAUUUGACAGAUCAAUUUUGAUGAAUCCAUGCGAAUCACAUGAUACAACAUAUAAGAAUGAUUUACAGUUGAGCUAAAAAGGUAGUGAAACCCACCACAAGAUGCUCUCCUUCAUGCUGAGUGUUGAAUGUAGAUGAUAACACUACAAUGUUCGGCCAGCUCCGGGAACACAACCCCCUGGACAUUUUUCAUGAUAAAUCUGUAACAUAAGGAUCUUCUACUGGUAUCCUUAUCCAUUUAGUCUCUGUCGAGUCUGGUUUUGUCACUGUGUUGCAAGUAUCGAGUAGAGUCCGAUGUAUGGUUGAUGCUUUUGUUUUCAAUGUAGAAUAGAACUUCUUGUGACCAUAUCCAAGGCCAUUUAGUCUCUGUUCGGUCUGGUUUGGUAGGGAACGUAAAGCUUCUUCUUCGUGAUGUGAAGAGGUCGAUGAUUCAAUUCAUUUGUUUUCUUCUGAUUGACAUUCCUUUUUAUAUAAAGUCAUGAAAAGCAACCAUUGUACAAACAUUAAAGAAUAUGAAUUUAGACAUUAUUCAACUCAUUUUAUUCACAUCUACAGUGUUUAAAACCAUACCAAAAAUAUUUGACAGAUCAAUUUUGAUGAAUCCACGCGAAUCACAUGAUACAACAUAUAAGAAUGAUUUACAGUUGAGCUAAAAAGGUAGUGAAACCCACCACAAGAUGCUCUCCUUCAUGCUGAGUGUUGAAUGUAGAUGAUAACACUACAAUGUUCGGCCAGCUCCGGGAACACAACCCCCUGGACAUUUUUCAUGAUAAAUCUGUAACAUAAGGAUCUUCUACUGGUAUCCUUAUCCAUUUAGUCUCUGUCUAGUCUGGUUUUGUCACUGUGUUGCAAGUAUCGAGUAGAGUCCGAUGUAUGGUUGAUGCUUUUGUUUUCAAUGUAGAAUAGAACUUCUUGUGACCAUAUCCAAGGCCAUUUAGUCUCUGUUCAGUCUGGUUUGGUAGGGAACGUAAAGCUUCUUCUUCGUGAUGUGAAGAGGUCAAUGAUUCAAUUCAUUUGUUUUCUUCUGAUUGACAUUCCUUUUUAUAUAAAGUCAUGAAAAGCAACCAUUGUACAAACAUUAAACAAUAUGAAUUUACACAUGUAUGUAUGAUGUAUGGUUGAUGCUUUUGUUUUCAAUGUAGAAUAGAACUUCUUGUGACCAUUUCCAAGGCCAUUUAGUCUCUGUUCGGUCUGGUUUGGUAGGGAACGUAAAGCUUCUUCUUCGUGAUGUGAAGAGGUCAAUGAUUCAAUUCAUUUGUUUUCUUCUGAUUGACAUUCUUUUUAUAUAAAGUCAUGAAAAGCAACCAUUCUACAAACAUUAAAGAAUAUGAAUUUAGACAUUAUUCAACUCAUUUUAUUCACAUCUACAGUGUUUAAACCACACCAAAAAUAUUUGACAGAUCAAUUUUGAUGAAUCCACGCGAAUCACAUGAUACAACAUAUAAGAAUGAUUUACAGUUGAGCUCAAAAGUUAUUGAACCCCAC